AAAAUCAUGAAAAGCAUUCAUUAACCCCUGAGUGUUACAAUCCUAAUCAGAGCAAUGACGCCAAAAGUGUGCUACCACUAUCCUCCUCUCAACGCGGAGCACCUGCACGUUACCAAUAUAAAGGUAACGGCCAACAACAAAAGGGUGAGAUACUCAAAUCAUAUAAUCAAGAUAAUGAUAAGCAAUAUAUAAGUAAAUUCGGAAAGUUAGAAAUAUUGUUACCACAUCG
This 229-nucleotide long non-coding RNA is filed under the name Lathyrus oleraceus (garden pea). Its description in RNAcentral is "Pisum sativum (pea) long non-coding RNA (PSAT_LNC008190)". Lineage: Eukaryota; Viridiplantae; Streptophyta; Magnoliopsida; Fabales; Fabaceae. The record is from RNAcentral.